GAGAAGGAGAGAUCAAGAAGACUUGGAACUUCUAUACUAAAUCAAGUAGUGCUGGAAGCAGUGGCUUUUAAGCCUCCGCCUAGGACACGAGCUGGUAAAAGAGGGCGUGUUUACUAUUAUACACAGGAAAAGGGAAACAAUGACAAAUCUGGAGUGAGUACUAUCUGGCAGCAUCAAAUUUGCACCAAUAGGACUAACAAAUAUGCUCAAUAAUGGAGGUGUAAUUCAAGAAGUGGAAUAUGUUGAGGGUGUUGCUAUGCUCAAGGUUAAGGGUGAUGGCCAAUUUUUGGCUUACUCAAGUGAACCUCCAAAGAAGUUCCAAGUGAAUGGUUCUGAUGUGGAUUGAGUGGCUUCCUAAUGGCAAAUUGAUGGCUAACUUUUCUUGGAUUCAAGAGGAUCAUGGUGUUUGUGAUUUAGCAAUUUUCUUCUAGUUUUUAUUUUAUAGGAUUGUGGAGUGGAGUUUCUUAUUUUAAAGUCCUAAUUUUUCAUUUUUAGUUUAGGUCCAGUUUGGGUAAACAACUUAAAUAAGUUCUUUUG
Molecule: non-coding RNA, 537 nt
Organism: Arachis ipaensis
Lineage: Eukaryota; Viridiplantae; Streptophyta; Magnoliopsida; Fabales; Fabaceae
Source: RefSeq, a predicted model, not a curated record